RNAcentral lists this ribosomal RNA (446 nucleotides) under uncultured bacterium. RNAcentral describes it as "bacterial SSU rRNA". It matches the Rfam family "Bacterial small subunit ribosomal RNA", at positions 954 to 1392 of the family's 1533-position model. The record is from RNAcentral.
AUGGGAACGCGAAGAACCUUACCUAGACUUGACAUCUUCUGCAUUAAUCGUAAUGGAUGAAAUCCCUUCGGGGACGAGAAUGACAGGUGGUGCAUGGUUGUCGUCAGCUCGUGUCGUGAGAUGUUGGGUUAAGUCCCGCAACGAGCGCAACCCCUACUUAUUAGUUGUCUAACAUUAAGUUGAGCACUCUAGUGAGACUGCCCGGGUUAACCGGGUAGGAAGGUGGGGAGUGACGUCAAAUACAUCAUGCCCCUUACUGUCUAGGGCUACACACGUGCUACAAUGGUGGGAACGAAAGAGAUGCAAUACCGCAAGGUGGAGCUAAACUCAAAACCCCACUCCCAGUUCGGAUUGUAGGCUGCAACUCGCCUACAUGAAGUUGGAGUUGCUAGUAAUCGCGAAUCAGAAUGUCGCGGUGAAUACGUUCCCGGGUCUUGUACACACCG